This 465-nucleotide ribosomal RNA is filed under the name Vreelandella stevensii. Its description in RNAcentral is "partial 16S ribosomal RNA". It matches the Rfam family "Bacterial small subunit ribosomal RNA", at positions 338 to 795 of the family's 1533-position model. The record is from RNAcentral. Lineage: Bacteria; Pseudomonadati; Pseudomonadota; Gammaproteobacteria; Oceanospirillales; Halomonadaceae.
CCUACGGGAGGCAGCAGUGGGGAAUAUUGGACAAUGGGCGAAAGCCUGAUCCAGCCAUGCCGCGUGUGUGAAGAAGGCCUUCGGGUUGUAAAGCACUUUCAGUGGGGAAGAAAGCCUUGGGGCUAAUACCCUCGAGGAAGGACAUCACCCACAGAAGAAGCACCGGCUAACUCCGUGCCAGCAGCCGCGGUAAUACGGAGGGUGCGAGCGUUAAUCGGAAUUACUGGGCGUAAAGCGCGCGUAGGCGGUCUGAUAAGCCGGUUGUGAAAGCCCCGGGCUCAACCUGGGAACGGCAUCCGGAACCGUCAGGCUAGAGUGCAGGAGAGGAAGGUAGAAUUCCCGGUGUAGCGGUGAAAUGCGUAGAGAUCGGGAGGAAUACCAGUGGCGAAGGCGGCCUUCUGGACUGACACUGACGCUGAGGUGCGAAAGCGUGGGUAGCAAACAGGAUUAGAUACCCGGGUAGUC